RNAcentral lists this ribosomal RNA (253 nucleotides) under uncultured bacterium. RNAcentral's name for it is "partial 16S ribosomal RNA". It matches the Rfam family "Bacterial small subunit ribosomal RNA", at positions 524 to 776 of the family's 1533-position model. The record is from RNAcentral.
GACGAGCAUCACAAACGUUAUUCGGAAUUACUGGGCUUAAAGGGUGCGUAGGCGGUGCAGCAAGUCGGGAGUGAAAUCCCACAGCUCAACUGUGGAAUUGCUUUCGAUACUGCUGUGCUUGAGUGAGAUAGAGGUAAGCGGAACUUAGGGUGGAGCGGUGAAAUGCGUAGAUAUCUGGAGGAAUACCGGUGGCGAAGGCGGCAUCCUGGACCAUUACUGACGCUGAGGCGCGAAAGCUAGGGGAGCAAACGGG